CAGCGCCCAGCGCCCGGCUGCCCACCGCGCCGCCACCUUCCACCUCUCCGCCCCUGCUCGCUCCGGUGCCACGCCGCCUCCCCACGCCCAGCCGCCCACUCCGGCGUCCUCCGGUGCUACCGUGCUGCCCCGGCGUCUCCCCACGCCACCUCUGCCUCAACGGAAGAAAAGGAAAGAGAAAGAGAGAGAGAAAAGAGGGAUAGAGAGAAAAGGGAGAGGAUGACAGGUGGGGUCCUAAUGUUAUAGACCUAGAAUAGAGAGGAUGGAUGGUGAGACGGUUGAAGUAAAAAAAUAAAUUUUAGUGGUCAAAUGAAAUGGAGAGUAGCCAAAUAGUCAUUUGUAGAGUCUAAUUUGUGUUGUCUGUUCGAGAUGUUCUUAGCAUGUUCUUUUUGAUGCAAUUUGGUAUCUCCUUGUAGUUAUGCUUAUAAGCUAAAAUUUAAAUUUUUAAACUUAAAUUUAGAGCAGAAUUUAAGUUUUUUAUCGUAGUUUAUUUUCAGCUUUAGUUUUUAUAUCGCUAAGAAUACAUAUAUAAUAUAUAAAAAUUUUAUUCGUAAAUUAUUUUCUGUUUAUAAAUAUGAUGUUUGCUUUUUUUACUGAAUAAACCAAACAAUCAUCCCUUGAUAGCUAAGCGUAACAUGACGUUGUAUUGGUGGAAUUUGACGAAUAAUCGGCGGUUGCUUGUGCUGGAUUUUCAGGUGUUUGGCAAAAAGAAGGUCGAGCCCGUGGGCAAGGAUGCAGCUCCAGAGG
This 747-nucleotide long non-coding RNA is filed under the name Oryza brachyantha (malo sina). Its description in RNAcentral is "long non-coding RNA (OBRA_LNC000913)". Lineage: Eukaryota; Viridiplantae; Streptophyta; Magnoliopsida; Poales; Poaceae. The record is from RNAcentral.